This 253-nucleotide unclassified non-coding RNA is filed under the name uncultured Saccharospirillaceae bacterium. RNAcentral describes it as "contains 16S-23S intergenic spacer region". It matches the Rfam family "Bacterial small subunit ribosomal RNA", at positions 524 to 776 of the family's 1533-position model. The record is from RNAcentral. Lineage: Bacteria; Pseudomonadati; Pseudomonadota; Gammaproteobacteria; Oceanospirillales; Saccharospirillaceae.
UACGGAGGGUGCAAGCGUUAAUCAGAAUUACUGGGCGUAAAGCGCGAGUAGGCGGCAAGCUAAGUUGGGUGUGAAAGCACCGGGCUCAACCUGGGAACGGCAUUCAACACUGGCUAGCGCGAGUACAGCAGAGGAUAGUGGAAUUUCCGGUGUAGCGGUGAAAUGCGUAGAGAUCGGAAGGAACACCAGUGGCGAAGGCGACUGUCUGGGCUGAUACUGACGCUGAGGUGCGAAAGCGUGGGGAGCAAACAGG